GUGGCUGUAGCUCAAUUGGCAGAGCGCCAGAUUGUGAUUCUGGAUGUUGCGGGUUCGAUCCCCGCCUGUCACCCCA
RNAcentral lists this transfer RNA (76 nucleotides) under Anaeroplasmataceae bacterium. RNAcentral's name for it is "tRNA-His". It matches the Rfam family "tRNA". Rfam says of the family: Transfer RNA (tRNA) molecules are approximately 80 nucleotides in length. Lineage: Bacteria; Bacillati; Mycoplasmatota; Mollicutes; Anaeroplasmatales; Anaeroplasmataceae. The record is from RNAcentral.